RNAcentral lists this ribosomal RNA (468 nucleotides) under uncultured bacterium. RNAcentral describes it as "partial 16S ribosomal RNA". It matches the Rfam family "Bacterial small subunit ribosomal RNA", at positions 28 to 507 of the family's 1533-position model. The record is from RNAcentral.
GACGAACGCUGGCGGCGUGCUUAACACAUGCAAGUCGAACGGAAAGGCCCUGCUUUUGUGGGGUGCUCGAGUGGCGAACGGGUGAGUAACACGUGAGUAACCUGCCCCUGACUUUGGGAUAACUUCAGGAAACUGGGGCUAAUACCGGAUAGGAGCUCCUGCUGCAUGGUGGGGGUUGGAAAGUUUCGGCGGUUGGGGAUGGACUCGCGGCUUAUCAGCUUGUUGGUGGGGUAGUGGCUUACCAAGGCUUUGACGGGUAGCCGGCCUGAGAGGGUGACCGGCCACAUUGGGACUGAGAUACGGCCCAGACUCCUACGGGAGGCAGCAGUGGGGAAUAUUGCACAAUGGGCGGAAGCCUGAUGCAGCAACGCCGCGUGCGGGAUGACGGCCUUCGGGUUGUAAACCGCUUUCGCCUGUGACGAAGCGUGAGUGACGGUAAUGGGUAAAGAAGCACCGACUAACUACGUG